RNAcentral lists this ribosomal RNA (467 nucleotides) under uncultured bacterium. Its description in RNAcentral is "partial 16S ribosomal RNA". It matches the Rfam family "Bacterial small subunit ribosomal RNA", at positions 28 to 506 of the family's 1533-position model. The record is from RNAcentral.
GACGAACGCUGGCGGCGUGCUUAACACAUGCAAGUCGAACGGAAGGGCCCUGCUUUUGUGGGGUGCUCGAGUGGCGAACGGGUGAGUAACACGUGAGUAACCUGCCCUUGACUUUGGGAUAACUUCAGGAAACUGGGGCUAAUACCGGAUAGGAGCUCCUGCUGCAUGGUGGGGGUUGGAAAGUUUCGGCGGUUGGGGAUGGACUCGCGGCUUAUCAGCUUGUUGGUGGGGUAGUGGCUUACCAAGGCUUUGACGGGUAGCCGGCCUGAGAGGGUGACCGGCCACAUUGGGACUGAGAUACGGCCCAGACUCCUACGGGAGGCAGCAGUGGGGAAUAUUGCACAAUGGGCGGAAGCCUGAUGCAGCAACGCCGCGUGCGGGAUGACGGCCUUCGGGUUGUAAACCGCUUUCGCCUGUGACGAAGCGUGAGUGACGGUAAUGGGGAAAGAAGCACCGGCUAACUACGU